This 80-nucleotide small RNA is filed under the name Rhizobium sp. ERR 922. RNAcentral's name for it is "suhB". The record is from RNAcentral. Lineage: Bacteria; Pseudomonadati; Pseudomonadota; Alphaproteobacteria; Hyphomicrobiales; Rhizobiaceae. RNAcentral also lists the same sequence under 1 other name.
AGCAAUCGCUGAUUGAGCGCAUGCGCCCUUGUCAGAUUUGGGAUGCCGCCGGAUUUCGGCGGCAUUUUUGUAUGCGUGAU